RNAcentral lists this unclassified non-coding RNA (4327 nucleotides) under Hevea brasiliensis (rubber tree). Lineage: Eukaryota; Viridiplantae; Streptophyta; Magnoliopsida; Malpighiales; Euphorbiaceae. The record is from RNAcentral.
AGAGAGAGAGAGAAAGAGAAAGAGUGAAGGAGAAGGAUAGAGAGAAAUAUAAGGAUCGAGAAAAAGAGAGGGAAAUUGAUAAAGAUAGAGAUAGGGAAAAAGCAAGAGACAAGGCUAAGGAGAGGGAAAGAGAAGCGGAUCAUGAUAAGGAAAGGUUGAGAGAGAAAGAUAAGUUGAGCAGAAGAAGCCAUGGCGAAGACUAUGACAGAAGCAAGGAUGAUGUAGUUGAAAUGAGCUAUGAAAAUGACAAGGACAGAGAUGUUUUAAAGCAAGCAAAUGCUUCUUUUGAUGAUGAUCACGAGCAAAAGGUUGAAGGUAUAUCUGGUGGAGGAUAUGCAUCUGCCUUAGAACUUGAGGGGCGCAUUUUGAAGAUGAAAGAAGAAAGAUUAAAGAAAAAUUCAGAAGUUGGCAAUGAGGUUUUAGCAUGGGUUAAUAGGAGUCGUAAGCUUGAGGAGAAAAAGAGUGCCGAAAAGGAGAAAGCCAAGCAGCUUUCAAAGAUUUUUGAGGAGCAGGUUAUUUUAUUCUUAAUUGCAUUAUGUUACUGGAUAUCUUUUAUUUAAUGUGAUUAUGAUUGUUGAUGUUGUGAUAUAAAUAUCAGGACAAUAUUGUUCAAGGAGAAAGUGAAGAUGAGGAGGGAACUGAGCAUGCUACUCGUAUGGUUUCUUCUUAAUAACUGCUAGUCAUUCAACAAGUUGUUAUGAAAGCCAAAUUUGACUUAGAACCACUCACUUCAUAUUUUUAUUAGAUCACGCAAGUUGAGUAUAAUUGUUGCUUUACUCAUUAUAAUUUCAUUAUUAAAAAGUCAAUGAGCAAAAAACAUUUCCAGGCAUGUGUUUAUUGUUCUUAAUGAGUGCAGAUACUCAUAGCUCACCGAUAUAAUUUCUCAGGAAUUUGGAGUCGAGCAUAGGGGUGUGAUUCAUGAAACCCAAUUUCAUGUUAUAUUUUUAAUCUCUUUUAUCUAUGUUCAUAUUCAAAUGUUACAGCUUGUACAUUUCUAAUCUAGCUGAAUUUCCUAGUUAUAUUUAGCUGGAAAUAUUGGUUCAUCCUGUCAGAUUGAUUUAUUUUCAUGAUGAAAACCUGUUAACAGAUGAUCUAGCUGGAGUUAAAGUUCUUCAUGGCAUUGAAAAGGUAAUGGAAGGUGGAGCAGUUGUCUUGACACUCAAAGACCAGAGCAUACUUGCGGAUGGCAGCAUUAAUGAAGAGGUUGACAUGCUUGAAAAUGUGGAAAUUGGAGAGCAGAAGCGCCGGGAUGAGGCUUAUAAGGCUGCAAAGAAAAAGACAGGGAUAUAUGAUGAUAAGUUCAAUGACGAUCCUGCUUCAGAGAAGAAAAUCCUUCCACAAUAUGAUGAUUCAACUACGGAUGAGGGAGUAACUCUUGAUGAAAGGGGACGGUUCACUGGUGAAGCUGAGAAAAAAUUGGAAGAGCUCCGUAGAAGGUUACAAGGUUCUUCCACAAAUAAUCGCUUUGAAGAUCUAAAUGCCUCUGGAAAAAUCUCAUCAGAUUACUAUACGCAAGAAGAGAUGCUUCAAUUUAAGAAGCCCAAGAAAAAAAAGUCCUUGCGGAAAAAGGAGAAAUUGGAUAUAAAUGCCCUUGAAGCAGAAGCUGUCUCUGCAGGAUUGGGUGUUGGAGAUCUUGGUUCUCGAAGUGAUGGAAGAAGGCAGGCAAUUAGGGAGGAACAAGAGAGAUCUGAAGCAGAAAUGAGAAGUAAUGCAUAUCAGUCUGCGUAUGCUAAAGCAGAUGAGGCUUCUAAAUCGCUGCGACUGGAGCAAACUCUUACUGCUAAAGUUGAUGAAGAUGAAAAUCCAGUGUUUGCAGAUGAUGAUGAGGAUCUUUAUAAAUCCUUAGAAAGAGCUAGGAAAUUAGCUCUCAAAAAGCAAGAGGAAGCAUCUGGUCCUCAAGCAAUUGCUCGCCUAGCUGUCAACACCACCACAAGCAGUCACGUUGCAGAUGAUAACCUUACAACUGCUGAGUCACAAGAAAACAAGAUUGUCUUUACAGAGAUGGAAGAGUUUGUGUGGGGUCUCCAACUGGAUGAAGAGGCCCAUAAGCCUGACAGCGAUGAUGUUUUCAUGGAUGAGGAUGAAGCACCUCCAAGAACUUCUGAACAAGAAAGAAAAGAUGAAGCUGGUGGAUGGACAGAAGUUAAAGAUACUGAUAAUGAUGAAAACCCUGUCAAUGAGAAUCAGGAGGAUAUAGUUCCAGAUGCAACCAUUCAUGAAGUUCCAGUUGGUAAAGGACUGUCUGGUGCAUUGAAUUUGCUCAAAGAGCGAGGAACACUUAAAGAAAGUAUUGAAUGGGGUGGUAGAAACAUGGACAAGAAAAAGAGUAAACUUGUUGGUAUAGUAGAUAAUAAUGUUGACAAUGACAAAUUUAAGGACAUUCGAAUUGAGAGGACCGAUGAAUUUGGGCGUAUUGUAAGUAGUCGAUCAUCUGCUUGCUUUCUAAUUACUGGCAUUGACCUAUAGUUUAUGCUAUUUGUUGUUUAGCUAUUGUGGGUGAGGUACAGAGAUAGGUCGAUUUAUUGGGCAAAUCUGAUGAGGGAAUGUACAUGAAAUUUCUGUAGUGUAAAAUGUUUUGGUGGAUUUCUUUGAAUGAACAGUUAUUAUCCUUGCAUAGAAUCAGUUGAUUAGAAGAUGCUGGUCAUAUGACAUGGAUCAUUUUGGGCCUUGAGAGUAGGAGUGUUCAGGUACUAAAUUUGGGCACUAGUUUGAGGUGUGGUUCUAAGAACUAUUACAGGUAGCUGGGAGUGAUUGCUUUAGAGAUUGUAGAAAACAUUAACUAUCACAUGGUUCUUCUGAAAUAUCACAUGUAAUGAAUAUAAAGUUUUCUGUUUCUUAUUUGUAAUAGAUGCCCAAGAAGCAGAAAAAGUGAAAGACCAACCAGUAAAGUUAAAUUGGUUAUUUGGUUAGAUAAUUCCUCUUAGGUUGCGUCCCACUGCCCAAGUGUGAAUUUGUGUCACUACCAAUAUGAUGUACAUUUUUUAAAAUUUUGUGAUAUCUAAUAGUUUUUAAUGAAUUAUUAUUCUUUUGAACCAGAUAACUCCCAAAGAGGCCUUUAGGAUGAUUUCUCAUAAAUUCCAUGGAAAAGGGCCCGGCAAAAUGAAGCAAGAAAAGCGCAUGAAGCAAUAUCAGGAAGAACUGAAGUUGAAGCAAAUGAAGAAUUCAGAUACACCAUCAUUGUCUGUUGAGCGGAUGAGGGAAGCCCAGGCUCAGUUGAAAACACCUUACCUCGUCCUUAGCGGUCAUGUGAAGCCAGGGCAAACAAGUGAUCCCAGAAGUGGUUUUGCAACUGUUGAGAAGGAUCUUCCAGGGGGCCUAACACCCAUGCUUGGUGACAAAAAGGUCAGUCUUAUUGCAUCACUCUGAAAUCCAUGGGUAUAAUUUGCUAGCAAAUUGUUGAGAUGUUACUGUGGAGAUUUGUCUAGAGGCUUGAGGAAUGGGUGGAGAGGUGUUUUGGGUUAAACCAGGGAAUAAACGAGACUACCAUAGCUACAAGUUAGGGGAUGGAUUAGUCUUUGUUGCAAAGUUUGGGAUGGAUCUGGAUUGGCUUCGCUUUUCUGUGGUUGGUUUCAGAUGCUAAGCGAGAGUUUAAAGCAAUUCUCACAAUUUAUCACCAAAUACAGAUUUUAGUUUCUUUUUCUCACAAAUGAACGCCCAUUUUUAUUUUGUACAAUUUUCUUUUACUUUCUUUUCAUUUUGUCUUAUUGGUUUCAUUCUGUAUUUUCUCCUUGUUUUUUUCCCACUCUUCAUAUGCAGAUAAUCCAUCCUUUUUUUGUCAGGUUGAGCACUUUUUGGGAAUAAAACGCCAGGCUGAGCCUGGGAACUCCGGCACACCAAAGAAGCCUAGAACUUGAAGGGGCCAUGGAAAUUUUUUACUGUUAUGUGGGUGAGAUUGAAGUUGUUCGGAAAACAAUUGAUAAUGAACUUAAUCAGUAUAUUUGACGCUGAAACUGUAGCAUCCUAUCCUAUUGUGACAUAGCAAAAGCACUGGCCUGGUUUUGUGAUGGAAAUUUUUUUACUAUCUGUUUGUGCUUCUUGCCUAAUGAUGAACUUGGCAGUUUGUAAGGUGGAAAUUGUGAAUGAUAAAUUCUUUAAUAAUUUUGAUUAAAUUACUAUCCAAAUUAGAUCAUAGAGAAUUGCUAGGCUCAAUUCGGUAAUGGAUCUAGACUGUUGAUUCAUUUGGUGUUUAUCAUUGAACGCUGGUCUUCGUGUGUUUGGGAGUUAUGAUGUUUACUAUUUAUCCACCUGUUGGUAGCGCCAAGGUGAUAUGACCUUGCUUUUCUGAUGUAUCAAAAAAGAUGCAUAAAAAGUUAAACAGUAAUGGCCG